GUGGGGAAUAUUGGACAAUGGGCGAAAGCCUGAUCCAGCCAUGCCGCGUGUGUGAAGAAGGCCUUCGGGUUGUAAAGCACUUUAAUCGAGGAGGAAGGUUCGUCACCUAAUACGUGACGGAAUUGACGUUACUCGCAGAAUAAGCACCGGCUAACUCUGUGCCAGCAGCCGCGGUAAUACAGAGGGUGCAAGCGUUAAUCGGAAUUACUGGGCGUAAAGCGCGCGUAGGCGGUUGUGUAAGUUGGAUGUGAAAUCCCCGGGCUUAACCUGGGCACUGCAUUCAAAACUGCACGGCUAGAGUAUUGGAGAGGAAGGUAGAAUUCCAGGUGUAGCGGUGAAAUGCGUAGAGAUCUGGAGGAAUACCGAUGGCGAAGGCAGCCUUCUGGCCAAAUACUGACGCUGAGGUGCGAAAGCAUGGGGAGCAAACAGGAUUAGAUACCCUAGUAGUCC
This 450-nucleotide ribosomal RNA is filed under the name uncultured bacterium. RNAcentral describes it as "partial 16S ribosomal RNA". It matches the Rfam family "Bacterial small subunit ribosomal RNA", at positions 354 to 796 of the family's 1533-position model. The record is from RNAcentral.